This 200-nucleotide unclassified non-coding RNA is filed under the name soil metagenome. RNAcentral's name for it is "partial contains internal transcribed spacer 2 and large subunit ribosomal RNA". The record is from RNAcentral.
UGCCUGUUCGAGCGUCAUUAUGACCACUCAAGCCUAGCUUGGUAUUGGGGUUCGCGGUCUCGCGGCCCUUAAAUCAGUGGCGGUGCAUCUGGCUCUAAGCGUAGUAACUUAUCUCGCUAUUGGGUCCGGUUGGUUGCUUGCCAACAACCCCAACUUCUAAGGUUGACCUCGGAUCAGGUAGGGAUACCCGCUGAACUUAA